CCUACGCGUGGCUGCAGUGGGGAAUAUUGCACAAUGGGGGAAACCCUGAUGCAGCGACGCCGCGUGAGUGAAGAAGUAUUUCGUUAUGUAAAGCUCUAUCAGCAGGGAAGAUAAUGACGGUACCUGAGUAAGAAGCCCCGGCUAACUACGUGCCAGCAGCCGCGGUAAUACGUAGGGGGCAAGCGUUAUCCGGAUUUACUGGGUGUAAAGGGAGCGUAGACGGCAUGGCAAGUCUGAAGUGAAAGCCCGGGGCUCAACCGCGGGACUGCUUUGGAAACUGUUAAGCUGGAGUGCAGGAGAGGUAAGUGGAAUUCCUAGUGUAGCGGUGAAAUGCGUAGAUAUUAGGAGGAACACCAGUGGCGAAGGCGGCUUACUGGACUGUAACUGACGUUGAGGCUCGAAAGCGUGGGGAGCAAACAGGAUUAGAUACCCUAGUAGUC
Molecule: ribosomal RNA, 440 nt
Filed under: uncultured bacterium
Lineage: Bacteria
Description: partial 16S ribosomal RNA
Rfam family: Bacterial small subunit ribosomal RNA
Source: RNAcentral